RNAcentral lists this ribosomal RNA (431 nucleotides) under uncultured bacterium. Its description in RNAcentral is "partial 16S ribosomal RNA". It matches the Rfam family "Bacterial small subunit ribosomal RNA", at positions 29 to 507 of the family's 1533-position model. The record is from RNAcentral.
AACGAACGCUGGCGGCAGGCUUAACACAUGCAAGUCGAACGCCCCGCAAGGGGAGUGGCAGACGGGUGAGUAACGCGUGGGAACAUACCCUUUUCUACGGAAUAGCUCUGGGAAACUGGAAUUAAUACCGUAUACGCCCUACGGGGGAAAGAUUUAUCGGGGAAGGAUUGGCCCGCGUUGGAUUAGCUAGUUGGUGGGGUAAAGGCCUACCAAGGCGACGAUCCAUAGCUGGUCUGAGAGGAUGAUCAGCCACAUUGGGACUGAGACACGGCCCAAACUCCUACGGGAGGCAGCAGCGGGGAAUAUUGGACAAUGGGCGCAAGCCUGAUCCAGCCAUGCCGCGUGAGUGAUGAAGGCCUUAGGGUUGUAAAGCUCUUUCACCGAUGAAGAUAAUGACGGUAGUCGGAGAAGAAGCCCCGGCUAACUUCGUG